UACGUAGGGGGCAAGCGUUAUCCGGAUUUAUUGGGUGUAAAGGGCGUGUAGGCGGGAGCGCAAGUCAGAUGUGAAAACUCAGGGCUCAACCCUGAGCCUGCAUUUGAAACUGUGUUUCUUGAGUGCUGGAGAGGCAAUCGGAAUUCCGUGUGUAGCGGUGAGAUGCGUAGAUAUACGGAGGAACACCAGUGGCGAAGGCGGAUUGCUGGACAGUAACUGACGCUGAGGCGCGAAAGCGUGGGGAGCAAACAGG
RNAcentral lists this ribosomal RNA (253 nucleotides) under uncultured bacterium. Its description in RNAcentral is "partial 16S ribosomal RNA". It matches the Rfam family "Bacterial small subunit ribosomal RNA", at positions 524 to 776 of the family's 1533-position model. The record is from RNAcentral.